This 126-nucleotide small RNA is filed under the name Marmota monax (woodchuck). Lineage: Eukaryota; Metazoa; Chordata; Mammalia; Rodentia; Sciuridae. The record is from RNAcentral.
GCCGGGUACAGUGGCGCACACCUGUAAUCCCAGAAGCUCAGGAGGCUGAGACAGGAGGAUCACUGAGUUCAAAGCCAGCCUUAGCAACUGCGAGGUGCUAAGCAAAUCAGUGAGACCCUCUCUCUU